This 775-nucleotide small RNA is filed under the name Pongo abelii (Sumatran orangutan). Its description in RNAcentral is "processed transcript". The record is from RNAcentral. Lineage: Eukaryota; Metazoa; Chordata; Mammalia; Primates; Hominidae.
GCCGUCACUCGCCCGGUCGGCUCCGGACGGGCCGUAGCCGCUCUCCCGGGAGGACCGAGCGCGGCUUGUCUCUGGCGGCGGCGGGGCGGGCACCUCGGUUUGGCGCUCUUCGCGCCGCCUCCGCCGGGGCCUCGGGCUCGGGCAGGGACGGGUCGGUGGCGUUCCCGGAGCGUUAACGAGUAAACUGUGUCUGUCUCCACAGCCGCCUCUUCGGGUUCGUGAGGUUUCAUGAAGAUGGCGCCAGGACGAAGGCCCUACUGGGCAAGGCUGUUCGCUGCUAUGAAUCUCUAAUCUUAAAAGCUGAAGGAAAAGUGGAGUCUGAUUUCUUUUGUCAAUUAGGUCACUUCAACCUCUUAUUGGAAGAUUAUCCAAAAGAAUGCUGCCUUUUUAUAUGGUCUUGGUUUGGUCUACUUCCAUUAUAAUGCAUUUCAGUGGGCAAUUAAAGCAUUUCAGGAGGUGCUUUAUGUUGAUCCCAGCUUUUGUCGAGCCAAGGAAAUUCAUUUACGACUUGGGCUUAUGUUCAAAGUGAACACAGACUAUGAGUCUAGUUUAAAGUUCAAUUUCACAUUGCCCACUUAUAUGAAACCCAGGUAAGUAUUUUAACUUAUUCUGUUUAAAACAAAAGCCAACAAAAAGCAUCACUCCUAUCAUGCUUUACUGAAAUCAGAAGUGUACAGAUAAUUUAAUGGAGUUCUGGGCGUUACUUCUUAGGUAAAUUUUGUAUUUUAUACUCAUUAAAUGUGAUCAAGAUGCUGCUUAGUAAAACAGUUAUUCC